This 72-nucleotide transfer RNA is filed under the name Candidatus Midichloria mitochondrii IricVA. It matches the Rfam family "tRNA". Rfam says of the family: Transfer RNA (tRNA) molecules are approximately 80 nucleotides in length. Their secondary structure includes four short double-helical elements and three loops (D, anti-codon, and T loops). Lineage: Bacteria; Pseudomonadati; Pseudomonadota; Alphaproteobacteria; Rickettsiales; Candidatus Midichloriaceae. The record is from Rfam by way of RNAcentral.
UCCCCGGUAGCUCAGCGGUAGAGCAAGCGGCUGUUAACCGCUUGGUCGCUGGUUCGAGUCCAGCCCGGGGAG